GAACUGAUAAUUCGAUAGGUGGAACGAUGGGGUAACGCCCUGAAACGCCUAGUCUUGAUGGACAUGCGUCGACUGUAAAGGUCGGGGUGUGAAGCUCCAUGACAAAGGCUGAGAGUAGCCGUAAGGAACUGCCAUAAGUUCUACGAAAUCGUCCCAGAGGUGGGAUGUGCUACCUAUAAGCCGAGACUCUCUAA
This 194-nucleotide non-coding RNA is filed under the name uncultured Johnsonella sp. The record is from RNAcentral. Lineage: Bacteria; Bacillati; Bacillota; Clostridia; Lachnospirales; Lachnospiraceae.